GGCAGUUCUUGGGUGAUGCACCCUGGAAUCGGGCUUCCUCCUCUCUGGUUCCGGGUGCGUCACCUGAGAACCGCA
Non-coding RNA from Myotis lucifugus (little brown bat), 75 nucleotides. The record is from Rfam. NCBI's taxonomy places the organism in Eukaryota, Metazoa, Chordata, Mammalia, Chiroptera, Vespertilionidae.